CGCCUCCUGUCGCGCUGCUCCACCGCCGUGCGCUCCAGGGGUCCCCGCAGUCCGCCCGCUGCGUUGAGCUCCGGGCUCACUUUUCUUUCGCCGGUGGCGAGUGGCUGGUGGGUCAAAAAUAUAUCCUUCAAAACAGGAGUGAUGUGAAUUCCUGGUUUGAGUUCCUCUACUGACAAGAGGAAAAUAAGAGUAAGUAGUUAUUUAAUGUAGUACCGAUCACUCCAAGCCCCCCCAUAAACCUUACAUUGUCUGAAUACAAUAGAGAUGUUGAGAUUUAAUAAAUUCCUCUUGAGUCUAUGAUAUCUGCCCACGUGCACUUUAUCAUACCUUCCAAAAUGCAGCUGUUACAUCCAAACCUCCUCAUGGGCUCUUAUGCCUAAGUUUCCCUGUACAGUUGUUUUCUUUCUCUGCUUUAAUUAAAAUUUAAACACUUCACAUCAAACUUAAUGGCAGAUGCAAAUUCCUGGACAAACAUCAUGAAAUCAAGC
This 488-nucleotide long non-coding RNA is filed under the name Fukomys damarensis (Damara mole-rat). Its description in RNAcentral is "lncRNA (ENSFDAG00000023320.1)". Lineage: Eukaryota; Metazoa; Chordata; Mammalia; Rodentia; Bathyergidae. The record is from RNAcentral.